RNAcentral lists this ribosomal RNA (26 nucleotides) under Inocybe squarrosa. RNAcentral describes it as "partial 18S ribosomal RNA". Lineage: Eukaryota; Fungi; Basidiomycota; Agaricomycetes; Agaricales; Inocybaceae. The record is from RNAcentral.
AGGGUGAACCCUGCGGCAGGAUCAUU